RNAcentral lists this long non-coding RNA (1014 nucleotides) under Equus asinus (donkey). RNAcentral's name for it is "lncRNA (ENSEASG00005037747.1)". Lineage: Eukaryota; Metazoa; Chordata; Mammalia; Perissodactyla; Equidae. The record is from RNAcentral.
CCCCUCCCGGUGCCGCCCCCGCUCCUCUCGGCUCCCUACCCGUCUCCCUCUGCGCCGGGCACGGCGGGCCCUACCCCAUGGGCGAGGUGGCGAGGGCAGAAAAUCCUUGGGGCGGCGGCGAGCGGGGGCGAGGACCCAGCUGCAGCCUCUGGGGCGUCUCCGGAAAGUUUAGCGCCUGAGGGAGUGAACUCUGGAGCUGACCUUCCUGGUCUCUAAGCCAUGUGUCCCCGGUGGGAUUUGGCUGUUCACAGUUCUUGGUUUAGCAUCUUCUUCUGGAAACAACCAAGGGAGGCAGGCCAGACAAAGAAUCCCACCAUUACCAUUUUAAACCAAGCUGCUAUCAUCUCCAGCCUGGUUUCUGGCAACGCAGAUGGAUCCUGCUGGGACAUCCUCCUUACUCUGGAGCCCACAGAUGGGAUCCUGGGAGAACGGGCAGAGGCUGGUGAAGGGAAGAUUAGCCCUGAGCGAACAUCUGCUGCCGAUCCUCCUGGUUUUGCUGAGGAAGACUGGCCCUGAGCUAACAUCCGUGCCCAUCUUCCUCUAUUUUAUAUGUGGGACGCCUGCCACAGCAUGGCUUGAUAAGCAGUGCCAUGUCCGCACUUGGGAUCCGAACUGGUGAACCCUGAGCCCCCAAACUGGAACAUGCGAACUUAACUGCUGUGCCACUGGGCUGGCCCCCCCCAAAAUACAAUAAAAAUAAAAAUUGUACAGUUUAAGGGCAUUAAGUACAUUUACAAUGCUGUGAAACCAUUACCACUAUCUAGUUCCAGAACAUUUUCAUCAUCCCAAAAGGAAACCCUAUACUCAUUAAGUGGUGACUUUUCAUCCCCGUUUCAAUAACUUGAUAACCAUAAUUUUUUUAAGCCAUUUUAUCUUCUGUCACUUUAUAAAAGUUUGGGUUGAGUAUCUUAUCCAGUCAGCCUGAUGCCCCAGAAAAAAAGAAUCAUGACAGCUUCCAAGAAAUCCAGUGGAAAUAACUGUAUUGUCAUAUAUGUCAUAACUGGUUAAAAAAAC